Long non-coding RNA from Cryptomeria japonica (Japanese cedar), 1661 nucleotides. RefSeq lists it as uncharacterized. The transcript is spliced from 2 exons. Lineage: Eukaryota; Viridiplantae; Streptophyta; Pinopsida; Cupressales; Cupressaceae. The record is from RefSeq and is a predicted model, not a curated record.
GAUCUAUAACUGGCACUGGGUUCACUUCAUAAAUUGGAUAAACGAAGUAGGUCAGAUAUGCAAAGAAGAAAAUGCAGUCUUAAACAAGUUGAGAGUAUUAAUCUCAGUGCUAGGGCAGUGGUAAUCUUUGUUCGAGUGAAAUGAUCAGGAACAAGAUAUUAAUCGUGAUAGUCCAUGUAGUAUUAUUUGUUCUUCAAGUUAAAAUAGUCAUGGAAGAGUCAUUAUAGUAAAGUACUCAUAAUAAGAGCAUUCAAGAAGAAGCAACCCUAAAGCAGUCUUAAUGGAGCCUCAAUUAUCAAAGACUGUGAUUGAAUGAUCACAGUCAUAAAAUGUCAAAGACUUAGAGAAGCUUUUGGCUCUGAGAUAGAGCUACCAUAAACCUAACAAAAGACAAAACAAAGACCUCAGGAAUUGGAGGAACAUAGCUUACAUCAAUAGCAAUGUAUAGUGUAAAUGUAGUCAAUGCACAAGAACAAUAGUGCAAGGAGAGUCAUGCAUGCAAAGAGCAGAGUAGUAAAACAGUGAGCAAAGCUUGUCACAAUAAUCCAGAGCAGUCUCAUGCAUAAAUAUUAGAGAAUACAUAGUCAAUGACAAAUCUGAGAUAAAAGAAAGGGGAUUGUGUUUGAAGGAAGAUAGUACAACAUUCAAUAGUCUUGGGUUUUGGUUUCUAGUUUGGAAGAUCAUCAGCCUCUCCCUUUUAUCUGCCAUGGGCUGCAAGGAUAAAAAUUGCUAAGGGAGUGGCUAGAUGCCUGGCUUACUUGCAUGAAAAGAAGCAUGUUCAUGCAAAUCUCAAGCCCAAAAACAUCCUUCUGGGGUUUGACAUGGAGCCAUUCAUUGCAGAUUUCGGGUUGUACAGGGUAUUAGACAUGGCCAAUGUCAAAUAUAGUAGCUCAGCUAUUUAUCUAAGAAACUUUGAAGGUGCACUUUCAGGAAGCAAGCAGUCAACAGGCUCAAGAGAUAGCUUGCAGACAACACCUGAAAUGCUGGGCAGUCCAAGCACAUCAAGAAAUUUUGUAUCUCCAUACCAAGCUCCCGAGGCAUUGAAAACUCUUAAACCCAAUCAGAAGUAGGAUGUUUAUUCUUUUGGGGUUAUUUUUCUGGAAAUGCUCAUAGGGAAACCACCUUCUGAGAAAUAUUUUGCAACAUGGGGUCAAAGUUUUCUCUAUGAGAAGCAGCAUAUUUUGCGUAUCCAGAACAUGAACUAACAUUUCAAUAUUUUUGCUCUGGAGGCAAGUUCUCAGUUUUCUGGGGAAAAUAAUAGAUGGGGGUAAAUUGCUAUUGCAGGCAGCGGACUAAUCACAGAGUGACUGAAGUUGAUCCAGCUUGAUCUCUUGAGUACAACUGAUGGACAUUAUUGCCCGUGAUUAGUCACAUGGAAAUAAGUGACAUGAAAAUAAGUGACAUUAUAAUUGUAUAAUUAUCUAGCAAAAUGUCUAAUUAUUUGAUUUGAAAGCAUUUGAAUGUUGUUUUUAUCUUGACAUACAGUAAGUUAUUUCUUACUGCUUGGACAUUAGAACAGAGUGGAUUACAAUAUGUAGAAAAUGUGUGAAGUCAAUAUUGCAAAGCCUUAUUUAGUUAUUAGAAGCUUUUUGUCACUGACAGCCUGUCCUUGGCAAAACUAUUCAAGGAUUGUUAAGAAAUAUACACUCAUUGUGCUUUAA